RNA transcript from Brachypodium distachyon (stiff brome), 1646 nucleotides. RefSeq lists it as uncharacterized. Lineage: Eukaryota; Viridiplantae; Streptophyta; Magnoliopsida; Poales; Poaceae. The record is from RefSeq and is a predicted model, not a curated record. The transcript is spliced from 9 exons.
ACAACCCCCAGUGUGUCAUUUUCUACCCUGCCGACGGCAGUACAUCGAGACUCGCGGGACUCUCCCCAAAGCCCUUGCAACCCACAAUUCCCCCACCGAAACCCUAACCGGCUAACCCUAGUCCGCUCGAUGCUGUGAUCCCGCCGCGCGCGUGCCCAUGACUCUCGACGGGCCUGCCGAGCGACGGGACGAGGGUCAGCAGGCAGCGAUGGCGAACGGGAACGGUAUGGCUCCGCUACCGCCGCGGAUGUCCGGUAUGCCGUCGGGGGCUGCGCUGCAUUCGGACCAACGGCUGCGGCUCCACCCGAACACGGAGCACGAGCCGCAGGACUACACCGAUGUGCGCGGCGAGUACGCGCCGGCCGUGUACAGCGCCCUGGAGCUGCACCUCCCGCCUAGCCUCCUCGAGGCCGACCGUGACGACAAGCUGCAAUUCAUGCAGAACAUCCUCUCGCGCUACUGGCCCCGUGGCGAACGCAACAAGGUUCAGAGGCACAAAGAAUACAGGCAAAAGAUACUCCACCUCUAUAAGCCGCUACAUGAAGAAUUAUACAGUAUGCAUGCUUCGGCUUUCUUUUUACCAACAUUCCUCGAAGCAGUUAGAACCAACACAAAAGAAAGUAUUGCAAGUAUAAUGGCUGAGCCAAUUCCUGGUGUUUUUUCAUUUCCUAUGCUACAGCCAAAAUUUUGUGAUAUGCUAUUUGAGGAGGUAGAUAACUUCGAGAGUUGGGUUCAUGCCAUGAAAUUUAAGAUAAUGAGACCAAAUACAAUGAACAAGUAUGGUGCUGUCCUUGAUGAUUUUGGCCUGGAGACUAUGUUGAACGACUUCAUGGAGAAGUUCAUAACCCCAAUUUCUAAAGUUUUUUAUCCUGAGGUGGGUGGAGGAACAUUAGACUCUCACCAUGCUUUCGUUGUUGAGUACGGGAAAGAUAGAGAUGUUGAACUAGGUUUCCAUGUUGAUGAUUCUGAGGUUACAUUAAAUGUUUGCCUUGGCAAGCAAUUCUCUGGCGGGCAAUUAUACUUUCGUGGCGUCCGUUGUGAGAAUCAUGUGAAUUCAGAGGCACAGCAGGAGGUACAUGGUGACUGGAAAUUUAUGACUACCCUCAUGUUCCUGGAUGGGCUGUACUUCAUCGUGGUCGUCAUAGGCAUGGUGCUAGACCAACAUCAUCUGGGCUUAGAAUGAAUCUUCUUUUGUGGUGCAGAAGCUCUGUGUUCAGGGAGAUGAAGAAAUACCAGACUGAUUUUUCUAACUGGUGUGGUGAGUGCCAACGCGAAAAGACGGAAAGACAAACUCAGUCUGUCAAAGCGACCAAGCUGGCAUUUCUUAGGGGUGUUGGAGGGGCAAUGAUUUAAGUCAUAUUUACUGGAUGUCUUUUAGACAAUCUGUAUCAUAUUAAACAUCGUUUUAUCAUUUCAGAAACAUCUAGUGUAAUCGUCAUUUUCUGCCAUCGUGUUCGAUGUCUGAUCACAGCUGUGUGUAAAUCUUAACUUGCUGUGGCCGAGUCCUAAAAGUUUAAUUAUAGGGGGGCGUAAAAGGAAACGCUAUUUCAGACUACCAACUUUCAAGGGCUCUCUUGCAAUGUACAUCUUCCUAGCACAUGAUUCCGUACCGUUUGAGAUUAUUUUGGUGACCUGAUUAUUUGCAA